This 429-nucleotide ribosomal RNA is filed under the name Pseudomonadota bacterium. RNAcentral's name for it is "Proteobacteria bacterium partial 16S ribosomal RNA". It matches the Rfam family "Bacterial small subunit ribosomal RNA", at positions 355 to 776 of the family's 1533-position model. The record is from RNAcentral. Lineage: Bacteria; Pseudomonadati; Pseudomonadota.
UGGGGAAUAUUGGACAAUGGGCGAAAGCCUGAUCCAGCCAUGCCGCGUGUGUGAAGAAGGUCUUCGGAUUGUAAAGCACUUUAAGUUGGGAGGAAGGGCAGUAAGCGAAUACCUUGCUGUUUUGACGUUACCGACAGAAUAAGCACCGGCUAACUCUGUGCCAGCAGCCGCGGUAAUACAGAGGGUGCAAGCGUUAAUCGGAAUUACUGGGCGUAAAGCGCGCGUAGGUGGUUCGUUAAGUUGAAUGUGAAAGCCCCGGGCUCAACCUGGGAACUGCAGCCAAAACUGGCGAGCUAGAGUAGGGCAGAGGGUGGUGGAAUUUCCUGUGGAGCGGUGAAAUGCGUAGAUAUAGGAAGGAACACCAGGGGCGAAGGCGACCACCUGGGCUCAUACUGACACUGAGGUGCGAAAGCGUGGGGAGCAAACAGG